AGUGAACGCUGGCGGUAGGCCUAACACAUGCAAGUCGAACGGCAGCACAGUAAGAGCUUGCUCUUACGGGUGGCGAGUGGCGGACGGGUGAGGCAUACAUCGGAAUCUACUUUUUCGUGGGGGAUAACGUAGGGAAACUUACGCUAAUACCGCAUACGACCUACGGGUGAAAGCAGGGGAUCUUCGGACCUUGCGCGUUUGAAUGAGCCGAUGUCGGAUUAGCUAGUUGGCGGGGUAAGGGCCCACCAAGGCGACGAUCCGUAGCUGGUCUGAGAGGAUGAUCAGCCACACUGGAACUGAGACACGGUCCAGACUCCUACGGGAGGCAGCAGUGGGGAAUAUUGGACAAAGGGCGCAAGCCUGAUCCAGCCAUACCGCGUGGGUGAAGAAGGCCUUCGGGUUGUAAAGCCCUUUUGUUGGGAAAGAAAAGCAGCAGGUUAAUACCCCGCUGUUCUGACGGUACCCAAAGAAUAAGCACCGGCUAACUUCGUG
RNAcentral lists this ribosomal RNA (492 nucleotides) under uncultured bacterium. RNAcentral's name for it is "partial 16S ribosomal RNA". It matches the Rfam family "Bacterial small subunit ribosomal RNA", at positions 29 to 507 of the family's 1533-position model. The record is from RNAcentral.